AUGUCCAUAAGAGGAUAUUUCCUUGUGCUUUGCCGUUCGUCGGAGAUCAGGAGCAGGUUGCUCAGGCGCGGACGGGCCGACACGCACCAGUUUGAUCUCAUGCUCGCGCCUUGGUCUCGCCACUCGCACACCACGGCCAUCACCAUGCCGUUCCUGGUGCCGCUGGUGCUGCGUGGCAUUCCAGCAAACGCGUGGACGCGGCGCACGGCGGAGGUUCUUCUGCAUGGCCUGGGGAUUGUGGUCAAGUUCGGUGCGUCUACCGCGGAGCGUAGCGACAUGGCUGGGUUCUUGGUUUGGUUGCGCACGGACGACCCAACUUGCAUCCCCUCUAGGCGGAUCUUCACCGUGGAGGAGGCCGAACAGGAGAAGUCAAGAUGCUGUGCAGGUGGAUGGAUGAUCUGA
This 402-nucleotide ribosomal RNA is filed under the name Triticum aestivum (bread wheat). RNAcentral describes it as "partial small subunit ribosomal RNA". Lineage: Eukaryota; Viridiplantae; Streptophyta; Magnoliopsida; Poales; Poaceae. The record is from RNAcentral.